Molecule: transfer RNA, 36 nt
Filed under: Martes americana caurina
Lineage: Eukaryota; Metazoa; Chordata; Mammalia; Carnivora; Mustelidae
Description: partial tRNA-Leu
Source: RNAcentral
ACUUUUAAAGGAUAGUAGUAAUCCGUUGGUCUUAGG